This 497-nucleotide ribosomal RNA is filed under the name uncultured bacterium. RNAcentral describes it as "partial 16S ribosomal RNA". It matches the Rfam family "Bacterial small subunit ribosomal RNA", at positions 28 to 507 of the family's 1533-position model. The record is from RNAcentral.
GAUGAGCGCUGGCGGCGUGCCUAAUACAUGCAAGUCGAGCGAACGGACGAGAAGCUUGCUUCUCUGAUGUUAGCGGCGGACGGGUGAGUAACACGUGGAUAACCUACCUAUAAGACUGGGAUAACUUCGGGAAACCGUAGCUAAUACCGGAUAAUAUUUUGAACCGCAUGGUUCAAAAGUGAAAGACGGUCUUGCUGUCACUUAUAGAUGGAUCCGCGCUGCAUUAGCUAGUUGGUAAGGUAACGGCUUACCAAGGCAACGAUGCAUAGCCGACCUGAGAGGGUGAUCGGCCACACUGGAACUGAGACACGGUCCAGACUCCUACGGGAGGCAGCAGUAGGGAAUCUUCCGCAAUGGGCGAAAGCCUGACGGAGCAACGCCGCGUGAGUGAUGAAGGUCCUCGGAUCGUAAAACUCUGUUAUUAGGGAAGAACAUAUGUGUAAGUAACUGUGCACAUCUUGACGGUACCUAAUCAGAAAGCCACGGCUAACUACGUG